This 360-nucleotide unclassified non-coding RNA is filed under the name Hevea brasiliensis (rubber tree). The record is from RNAcentral. Lineage: Eukaryota; Viridiplantae; Streptophyta; Magnoliopsida; Malpighiales; Euphorbiaceae.
AAGAAGGAUUCAAUGUGGAUGCUGCUUUCCAGUGCAUAGCCAAAAAUGCGCUCAAGAAUGAACCUGAAGAAGAAAUAUAUCUUCCUGACACAAUCGAUGUUGGGGGUGGAGGGCGGCAGCAAAGAUCCACGGGCUGUGAAUGUUAGAAGGAACUUCCAGACCCACAGGAUUUGCAUGUUAGAAGGAAUUUCCGACUCACUCCCUACGUUCUAUCUAUUGGAAAUGCAACUUUCAUUCAUAUGUUUCCAUUCAACAUCCAGUGAUUAUAACAGGGGGACUAAUAACUAGGAAGAGGGCACGCCAAAUUUCAUUUUGUAUCAUAUGCAACUGUGGGAGCACAGUUCCAUUAUUAAUAACUUU